AAUCAACGCUGGCGGCGUGCCUCAGACAUGCAAGUCGAACGCGAAAGGCCCCUUCGGGGGCCGAGUAGAGUGGCGUCCGGGUGAGUAACACGUGGGUAAUCUACCUUCGGGUGGGGAAUAACGACCGGAAACGGUCGCUAAUACCGCAUAAUGCAGCGGCACCUAAUGGUGACAGUUGUUAAAGCGGGGGAUCGCAAGACCUCGCGCCUGAAGAGGAGCCCGCGGCGGAUUAGCUAGUGGCAGGGUAACGGCCUACCAAGGCGACGAUCCGUAGCCGGCCUGAGAGGGCGGUCGGCCACACUGGCACUGACACACGGGCCAGACUCCUACGGGAGGCAGCAGUCGGGAAUUUGGACAAUGGGGGCAACCCUGAUCCAGCCAUGCCGCGUGCGGGAAGAAGGCC
RNAcentral lists this ribosomal RNA (403 nucleotides) under uncultured bacterium. RNAcentral describes it as "bacterial SSU rRNA". It matches the Rfam family "Bacterial small subunit ribosomal RNA", at positions 29 to 416 of the family's 1533-position model. The record is from RNAcentral.